RNAcentral lists this ribosomal RNA (1242 nucleotides) under metagenome. RNAcentral's name for it is "bacterial LSU rRNA". It matches the Rfam family "Bacterial large subunit ribosomal RNA", at positions 1564 to 2817 of the family's 2925-position model. The record is from RNAcentral.
UGAAUACGAGAUGCUACGGCGUCGAAGCAGUCUAUGUCAUACUUCCAAGAAAAGCUUGCACUGUCAUAAACAAAUAAUGCCUGUACCAUAACCGACACAGGUGGGUAGGUAGAGUAUACUAAGGGGCGCGAGAUAUCUCUCUCUAAGGAACUCGGCAAAAUGACUCCGUAACUUCGGGAGAAGGAGUGCCUUAUUUAUAAGGUUGCAAUAACAAGAUCCAAGCAACUGUUUACCAAAAACACAGGUCUCCGCUAAGUCGUAAGACGAUGUAUGGGGGCUGACGCCUGCCCAGUGCCAGAAGGUUAAAGAAGUUGGUUAGCAUCCGCGAAGCUGAUAACUGAAGCCCUGGUGAACGGCGGCCGUAACAAUAACGGUCCUAAGGUAGCGAAAUUCCUUGUCGGGUAAGUUCCGACCCGCACGAAAGGCGUAAUGAUUUGGAUACUGUCUCGGAGAGGGGCUCGGUGAAAUAGACUUGUCUGUGAAGAUGCGGACUACCUGCACCAGGACAGAAAGACCCUAUGAAGCUUUACUGUAACCUGAAAUUGAAAUUGGACUUUACUUGCGCAGUAUAGGUGGGAGGCGUUGAGAAUAUUCUUGCGGGAUUAUUGGAGCCAUCAGUGAGAUACCACUCUUGUAAUGUUAGAUUUCUAACUUUGUAUCAUUAUCUGGUCAAAGAACAGUUUCAGGCGGGCAGUUUGACUGGGGCGUCGCCUCCUAAACGGUAACGGAGGCGCACAAAGGUUUCCUCUGAACGGGUAGAAAUCGUAUCUAGAGUGUAAAGGCAUAAGGAAGCUUGACUGUGAGACCUACAAGUCGAGCAGGGACGAAAGUCGGUCUUAGUGAUCUGACGGUGCUGAGUGGAAAGGCCGUCACUCAACGGAUAAAAGUUACUCUAGGAUAACAGGCUGAUCUCCCCCAAGAGUUCACAUCGACGGGGAGGUUUGGCACCUCGAUGUCGGCUCAUCGCAUCCUGGGGCGGUAGUACGUCCCAAGGGUUGGGCUGUUCGCCCAUGAAAGCGGUACGCGAGCUGGGUUCAGAACGUCGUGAGACAGUUCGGUCCAUAUCCGGUGUAGGCGUUAGAAUAUUGAGAGGAGCCUUCUUUAGUACGAGAGGACCGAGAAGGACAUACCUCUGGUGUACCAGUUAUCGUGCCAACGGUAAACGCUGGGUAGCUAUGUGUGGAGUGGAUAACCGCUGAAAGCAUCUAAGUGGGAAGCCCACCUCAAGAUAAGUAUUCUCAC